RNAcentral lists this ribosomal RNA (814 nucleotides) under Priestia megaterium. RNAcentral describes it as "bacterial SSU rRNA". It matches the Rfam family "Bacterial small subunit ribosomal RNA", at positions 79 to 873 of the family's 1533-position model. The record is from RNAcentral. Lineage: Bacteria; Bacillati; Bacillota; Bacilli; Caryophanales; Bacillaceae.
UGCUUCUAUGACGUUAGCGGCGGACGGGUGAGUAACACGUGGGCAACCUGCCUGUAAGACUGGGAUAACUUCGGGAAACCGAAGCUAAUACCGGAUAGGAUCUUCUCCUUCAUGGGAGAUGAUUGAAAGAUGGUUUCGGCUAUCACUUACAGAUGGGCCCGCGGUGCAUUAGCUAGUUGGUGAGGUAACGGCUCACCAAGGCAACGAUGCAUAGCCGACCUGAGAGGGUGAUCGGCCACACUGGGACUGAGACACGGCCCAGACUCCUACGGGAGGCAGCAGUAGGGAAUCUUCCGCAAUGGACGAAAGUCUGACGGAGCAACGCCGCGUGAGUGAUGAAGGCUUUCGGGUCGUAAAACUCUGUUGUUAGGGAAGAACAAGUACGAGAGUAACUGCUCGUACCUUGACGGUACCUAACCAGAAAGCCACGGCUAACUACGUGCCAGCAGCCGCGGUAAUACGUAGGUGGCAAGCGUUAUCCGGAAUUAUUGGGCGUAAAGCGCGCGCAGGCGGUUUCUUAAGUCUGAUGUGAAAGCCCACGGCUCAACCGUGGAGGGUCAUUGGAAACUGGGGAACUUGAGUGCAGAAGAGAAAAGCGGAAUUCCACGUGUAGCGGUGAAAUGCGUAGAGAUGUGGAGGAACACCAGUGGCGAAGGCGGCUUUUUGGUCUGUAACUGACGCUGAGGCGCGAAAGCGUGGGGGAGCAAACAGGAUUAGAUACCCUGGUAGUCCACGCCGUAAACGAUGAGUGCUAAGUGUUAGAGGGUUUCCGCCCCUUUAGUGCUGCAGCUAACGCAUUAAAGCACUCCGCCCU